This is a ribosomal RNA of 377 nucleotides. It matches the Rfam family "Eukaryotic small subunit ribosomal RNA", at positions 582 to 975 of the family's 1831-position model.
AUUCCAGCUCCAAUAGCGUAUAUUAAAGUUGUUGCAGUUAAAAAGCUCGUAGUUGAACUUCUGGCGGAUGUUUUCGCUGGCUUCGGUCGCGUUAAUGUCUGUCAUCCGCUAGGGAACCUCGUUCGGUCUUCAUUGGUCGGCGGGAGGAUCUGGCAUUUUACUUUGAAAAAAUUAGAGUGUUCAAGGCAGGCAAUCGCCAUGAAUACACAAGCAUGGAAUAAUGGAAUAGGACUUAUGGUCAUUUUAUUGGUUAUUGACUGUAAGUAAUGAUUAAUAGGGACAGUUGGGGGCAUUAGUAUUUAAUUGUCAGAGGUGAAAUUCUUGGAUUUAUUAAAGACUAACUUAUGCGAAAGCAUUUGCCAAGGAUGUUUUCAUCA